Molecule: ribosomal RNA, 688 nt
Filed under: Hypocreales sp. LM586
Lineage: Eukaryota; Fungi; Ascomycota; Sordariomycetes; Hypocreales
Description: bacterial SSU rRNA
Rfam family: Eukaryotic small subunit ribosomal RNA (bases 1-344)
Source: RNAcentral
CGCACGCGCGCUACACUGACGGAGCCAGCGAGUACUUCCUUGGCCGAAAGGCCCGGGUAAUCUUGUUAAACUCCGUCGUGCUGGGGAUAGAGCAUUGCAAUUAUUGCUCUUCAACGAGGAAUCCCUAGUAAGCGCAAGUCAUCAGCUUGCGUUGAUUACGUCCCUGCCCUUUGUACACACCGCCCGUCGCUACUACCGAUUGAAUGGCUCAGUGAGGCGUCCGGACUGGCCCAGGGAGGUGGGCAACUACCACCCAGGGCCGGAAAGCUCUCCAAACUCGGUCAUUUAGAGGAAGUAAAAGUCGUAACAAGGUCUCCGUUGGUGAACCAGCGGAGGGAUCAUUACCGAGUUAUACAACUCAUCAACCCUGUGAACAUACCUAAACGUUGCCUCGGCGGGAACAGACGGCCCCGUGAAAACGGGCCGCCCCCGCCAGAGGACCCCCUAACUCUGUUUCUAUAAUGUUUCUUCUGAGUAAAACAAGCAAAUAAAUUAAAACUUUCAACAACGGAUCUCUUGGCUCUGGCAUCGAUGAAGAACGCAGCGAAAUGCGAUAAGUAAUGUGAAUUGCAGAAUUCAGUGAAUCAUCGAAUCUUUGAACGCACAUUGCGCCCGCCAGUAUUCUGGCGGGCAUGCCUGUUCGAGCGUCAUUACAACCCUCAGGCCCCCGGGCCUGGGGUUUGGGGAU